Molecule: ribosomal RNA, 254 nt
Filed under: uncultured bacterium
Lineage: Bacteria
Description: partial 16S ribosomal RNA
Rfam family: Bacterial small subunit ribosomal RNA
Source: RNAcentral
UACGGGGGGGGGCAAGCGUUGUUCGGAAUUACUGGGCGUAAAGGGCGCGUAGGCGGACUUUUAAGUCAGGGGUGAAAUCCUGAGGCUCAACCUCAGAACUGCCUUUGAUACUGAGGGUCUCGAGACCGGUAGAGGUAAGUGGAACUGCGAGUGUAGAGGUGAAAUUCGUAGAUAUUCGCAAGAACACCAGUGGCGAAGGCGGCUUACUGGACCGGUUCUGACGCUGAGGCGCGAAAGCGUGGGGAGCAAACAGG